AUGCAAGUCGAACGGCAGCACGGACUUCGGUCUGGUGGCGAGUGGCGAACGGGUGAGUAACAUAUCGGAACGUAUCCAAUAAUGGGGGAUAACUAAUCGAAAGGUUGGCUAAUACCGCAUACGCCCUACGGGGGAAAGCAGGGGAUCUUCGGACCUUGCGUUAAUGGAGCGGCUGAUAUCUGAUUAGCUAGUUGGUGAGGUAAAGGCUCACCAAGGCGACGAUCAGUAGCUGGUCUGAGAGGACGACCAGCCACACUGGAACUGAGACACGGUCCAGACUCCUACGGGAGGCAGCAGUGGGGAAUUUUGGACAAUGGGCGCAAGCCUGAUCCAGCCAUUCCGCGUGGGUGAAGAAGGCCUUCGGGUUGUAAAGCUCUUUCGCAAGGGAAGAAAACUUACUUUCUAAUAAAGAGUGAGGUUGACGGUACCUUGAUAAGAAGCACCGGCUAACUACGUGCCAGCAGCCGCGGUAAUACGUAGGGUGCGAGCGUUAAUCGGAAUUACUGGGCGUAAAGCGUGCGCAGGCGGUUUUGUAAGUCAGAUGUGAAAUCCCCGAGCUCAACUUGGGAACUGCGUUUGAAACUACAAGACUAGAAUAUGUCAGAGGGGGGUAGAAUUCCACGUGUAGCAGUGAAAUGCGUAGAGAUGUGGAGGUAUACCAAUGGCGAAGGCAGCCCCCUGGGAUAAUAUUGACGCUCAUGCACGAAAGCGUGGGGAGCAAACAGGAUUAGAUACCCU
RNAcentral lists this ribosomal RNA (738 nucleotides) under uncultured beta proteobacterium. RNAcentral's name for it is "bacterial SSU rRNA". It matches the Rfam family "Bacterial small subunit ribosomal RNA", at positions 55 to 788 of the family's 1533-position model. The record is from RNAcentral. Lineage: Bacteria; Pseudomonadati; Pseudomonadota; Betaproteobacteria.